GGAGAGAUGGCUCAGUGGUUAAGAGCACUGCCUGCACUUCCAGAGGUCCUGAGUUCAAUUCCCAGCAACCACA
RNAcentral lists this transfer RNA (73 nucleotides) under Mus musculus (house mouse). Its description in RNAcentral is "tRNA-Cys". Lineage: Eukaryota; Metazoa; Chordata; Mammalia; Rodentia; Muridae. The record is from RNAcentral.